RNAcentral lists this ribosomal RNA (518 nucleotides) under uncultured Chloroflexota bacterium. Its description in RNAcentral is "bacterial SSU rRNA". It matches the Rfam family "Bacterial small subunit ribosomal RNA", at positions 355 to 888 of the family's 1533-position model. Lineage: Bacteria; Bacillati; Chloroflexota. The record is from RNAcentral.
UGAGGGAUAUUGCACAAUGGGCGCAAGCCUGAUGCAGCGACGCCGCGUGGGUGAAGAAGGCUUUCGGGUCGUAAAAUCCUUUUGCGCGUGACGAGAUAGGACGGUAGCGCGCGAAUAAGUCUCGGCUAACUACGUGCCAGCAGCCGCGGUAAAACGUAGGAGACGAACGUUAUCCAGAGUUACUGGGCGUAAAGGGCGUGCAGGCGGUUGGAUAAGUUCGGCGUGAAAUUUUCCGGCUUAACCGGGGGAUGUCGUCGGAGACUGUCUGACUAGAGGGUGAUAGAGGCGUGUGGAAUUCCGGGUGUAGUGGUGAAAUGCGUAGAGAUCCGGAGGAACACCAGUGGCGAAGGCGACACGCUGGGUCACACCUGACGCUAAGGCGCGACAGCAUGGGGAGCAAACGGGAUUAGAAACCCCGGUAGUCCAUGCCGUAAACGAUGCCAACUCGGUGUUUGAUCCGGGAAACCGAUUGGGUACCCAAGCAAACGCGAUAAGUUGGCCGCCUGGGGAUACGGUCG